GAAUGAAGAAGGAGUAGCUCAACAUGAAAAUCUGGGCAUCUGGCCUUGAAUUGUAGUUUGAAGAUGCAUUUGCCAAUGGACAUGAUAAUGAAAGCCUUUUGGGAAAAAGCAUCAACGAGGGUGAGAAUCCUUCUUGACAUUUCAAUUGUCCAUGUACGGUGUGCAUUGAAGAUUCACGUUCCUUGGGAUUUGAACGCAAACUUGUUGGUAAAUUUCAUUUAAAGCUAAAUAUUGGUUUGAGACCGAUAGAAAACAAGUACCAUGAGGGAAAAGUGAAAAGGACUUUGAAAAGAAAGUUAAAAGUGCUUGAAAUUGCUGAAGAGGAAGCGGGUGUAUUUCGCACGCAAUUCUCAAGAUUGUUGCGCAUAUCUCUGAUACCUUGUUGUCUUGAUUUAAUUGCAGCAAUAAGUUAUAUUUGUGAAUGCGCAAUGUUGCUUGUGUUUUGUGCCUUCAUCGAUUCACAGCCAUAGAAACAAUCUAAACAUGAAUCUUUGCUCUUGUGCAAAAGAACAUUUAGGUUCAGAUUUAGCUUGUGGAUCGCUCUUAAUAUUGUUGAUUG
Molecule: ribosomal RNA, 559 nt
Filed under: Protoceratium reticulatum
Lineage: Eukaryota; Dinophyceae; Gonyaulacales; Protoceratiaceae
Description: LSU rRNA
Rfam family: Eukaryotic large subunit ribosomal RNA
Source: RNAcentral